UUGUUAUCAGAAGACAUAAACAUAAUCUAAGUUAAGGUAGAAAUGUUCGGUUUGUGUGGUAGAGUAGUGUAGUAGGAGAGUGGUCGAGUCCUGCGCACCCCGUCGUUCACCUCCCCAACCCUUAACUAACGCUCUACGGCUUGGGGUUUGUCGUUUCCGUCGCAAUUCUACAACAGGGAGGUUUAUCGUGUGGUUUUAGUUGGUUUGAGUUGGAUUCUAUCUUUACAAUGUCGCGGGGCAGAGAUCGUGGUCGCCGCCGCACUCGUAGUCGGAGUCGCAGCAGGAGUAGAAGCAGGGGACGCAACAACUCUCCAGGUCGAAGAGGUGUGUCUGAUGUUACAUCUGACCCAAAGACUGUUAAUGCGAGAAUCUUUGUCGGAAGUAUCAAUGUUUCCAUGACUCGAGAGAUGCUAGAAGAAUAUUUCUCCAAGUACGGCAAAGUUGUUGGAGUGUCAAUCACAAGAAACAAAUUUGGGUUUGUGCAGUUUGCAGAUGAGGAUGAAGCUACAGCCUGCCUUUCUACUGGUAGCACUGCUUAUAUAAAAGGACAUAGAGUAGAUGUAAAACCAGCCAAAUUUGGAGGUGGAAUGGGCAUGGGUCCACCUCCUGGUGCAAGGCGGCGUCUUGGCAACAGCAGAGAAAAGUCUCCCCUACAAGGUAGGGGAGAAGAGGACUAUUACACCGAGUAUUAUGGACGUGGGACUCGAAGUGGCAGUCGUGAGCGUGACCGUGACUCUCGAGGUCAAGCUGAUUACGAGGACAUGUUUGAUGAUUACUACCGAGGAUAUUACCAGCGAUACGAAGACACCUACCAACAACACCCCGAGGCUCCAGAGGUAGACGGUCGACCUCCACCGGCACCAGUACCUGCUUACCCAAGUUACUCGGAACCAAUUGAUCCACUUGAUCCUAACAGGCCCAAUGAUGUGGAAAUUGUUGUCCCAAACAAAAUGCAGAGGGAUUAUGCAGAGAACAUUGAAGCACAGUUAAAGUCGUUGAAUAUGAUUGUCGACCUCUUGUUUCCACCGCCGGACAUCCCACCGUCACAAGUGUUAACAGACCUCAGCCAGCGACGGUGUCUGUACGCCAUCUUUGUGACGGGAGAUAAUGAGAACCAUCGGUCCCUGACACUAAACAUCCUUCAUAGCACCCCACAAGAACACCGCAACAUGCCGGUUGAUGAUGCUUUGCGUUUAAUUGAACAAAAUUUUGGAGAGUAUGUGAAGAAAGCCCGUCAACGGAAUAUUCGUGAAGUCGUGCCCCGAGAUAUUCGCAAUUUGCUCCAUGAUUUACUUGAGAUGCGUCCCCUCUCCAUGGGUGACUUGGACAAGUUGAUCAAGUACCUGAAGGAGCGUCAAAGUGUGCUGGUGGAUGAUCAAAUUGAGCAGAAGCGCGAGACUGCAGCAGGUGAGCGAAUCACACAGCGAUAACCGACCUGAAGUCGUGUGUAGGAGAAGGCCUGCCGUUCGUGUGGACACAGUUGCUCAAAGGUUUCACCGUGUGUGCUUUGAUAUCUGUACACCUGCAAGCUCAACAGGACUGCCAACCAUCCUCCCAUCCCUUCCUGUUAUCAUCUCGAGCGGUGACUCUG
This 1591-nucleotide unclassified non-coding RNA is filed under the name Homarus americanus (American lobster). RNAcentral's name for it is "nuclear receptor coactivator 5-like, transcript variant X1". The record is from RNAcentral. Lineage: Eukaryota; Metazoa; Arthropoda; Malacostraca; Decapoda; Nephropidae.